Molecule: long non-coding RNA, 1471 nt
Filed under: Cicer arietinum (chickpea)
Lineage: Eukaryota; Viridiplantae; Streptophyta; Magnoliopsida; Fabales; Fabaceae
Description: long non-coding RNA (CARI_LNC000189)
Source: RNAcentral
CUCAUUUUUAGCCUUUUAAUGGAUCAAGUUCUUUUCUGAGAUUUUUCACUAACAUUCUGAGAUUUUUUACUAACUGCAGCUGACAAAUCAGAAACCUUGGAAGAGUAAUAGUAGUUAUUAUCAUCUCUGUAGGAUGGCUUUCAGGUGUAAAAGUUGUUCUCUCUUCUUCCAUUUUUUGUUUUCUUUUGGUUUCUUAUGUCAAGAAUCAUAGAAUAUCCUAGUUAGUGCCAUGGCAACAAUUUGCUGGUAUAGCUGUUAUUAUUAGACAUCCAUGUAUAAGACCCUAAAAUCACACACAUGCUUUUCUAACUUAAAGCAUUAUUCAUUUGUCACACGCAUGCUUUGAAUUUUGAGUUACUUACUUAUGAAUAUGUGAAAAAUGAUAAUUCUUUAGUGUGUGACUAUAUAUUUAAAGUGUAUGAUUUCCAAAUGUGUUGUGUUCUCUACCAAAUCAUUUUCUUUGAUUAGUAAUUACUACCUCUGUUUCGUUAUUAAGCGUUAUUUACAAAAAAAAGAAGAUAAAUUGGUCAUGGUUUUUGACAAAUUUUUACAUAUUACGAAAAUUAUAUAGUGUAUAAAAUUUGCCUACUUUGUAUGUUGUUUCAGAAAUACCCUUCAUCUAAUGUUUUAGAUAAACAAUGACACUAAAAAGUAGUAAAUUCAUUAGGAGCACUUUUUGUAAAUAAAAAAAUUAGACCAUUACAGAUAACUCAACAUCUUGAAGCAAUUCAUUCAUUUUUUACUUCCAUAGUCUAACUCUUAGGAAUCAUAUUAGGUCCUACACCUUUAAUUUAUAUAUUAAUAUUUUAUUUAUAUUUAAUUUUAUUAUAAUUUAAAAUAUUAAUUUAAAUAUUUUAAUUAAUAUUAUAUAUUAUUUUAAAUAAUAUUAAUUAUUGAUCUCCACCUUGAAUAUCAUCUGAGGUCUAUAAAAUAUAUUGGGAUUGGUUGGUGAUGAUAGUAAUGAAUUUUUUUGAAUAAAAUGCAACUAAGAUUAUUGAAGAUUAUAUUGAUUCGGAUUAAUUUGUCACAAAUAAUUUUUGUUUGAAAUAAUAAGAUGAAAAAAUAAGUAAAUAAUUAUUGUUAAUAAAAGCUUAAAAAAAAACUUAUUCUGAGAUUUUUUACUAACUGCAGCUGACAAAUCAGAAACCUUGGAAGAGUAAUAGUAGUUAUUAUCAUCUCUGUAGGAUGGCUUUCAGGUGUAAAAGUUGUUCUCUCUUCUUCCAUUUUUUGUUUUCUUUUGGUUUCUUAUGUCAAGAAUCAUAGAAUAUCCUAGUUAGUGCCAUGGCAACAAUUUGCUGGUAUAGCUGUUAUUAUUAGACAUCCAUGUAUAAGACCCUAAAAUCACACACAUGCUUUUCUAACUUAAAGCAUUAUUCAUUUGUCACACGCAUGCUUUGAAUUUUGAGUUACUUACUUAUGAAUAUGUGAAAAAUGAUAAUUCUUUAGUGUGUGACUAUAUAUUUAAAGUGUA